CAGAGUUGCAAAACUCCCACAAACCAUCGCGAAUCUUACCCGUACGGUUGCCUCGGCGCUGGCGGUCCGGAAGGCCCUCGGGCCCCCGGAUCCUCGGGUCUCCCGCUCGCGGGAGGCUGCCCGCCGGAGUGCCGAAACCAAACUCUUGAUAAUUUAUGUCUCUCUGAGUAAACUUUUAAAUAAGUCA
This 187-nucleotide unclassified non-coding RNA is filed under the name uncultured Sordariaceae. RNAcentral's name for it is "sequence contains ITS1". The record is from RNAcentral. Lineage: Eukaryota; Fungi; Ascomycota; Sordariomycetes; Sordariales.